This 1069-nucleotide long non-coding RNA is filed under the name Salmo salar (Atlantic salmon). Its description in RNAcentral is "lncRNA (ENSSSAG00000111284.1)". The record is from RNAcentral. Lineage: Eukaryota; Metazoa; Chordata; Actinopteri; Salmoniformes; Salmonidae.
GUCACGUGCGCCGAAUACAACAGGUGUAGGCCUUACAGUGAAAUGCUUACUUACAGGCUCUAACCAAUAGUGCAAAAAAGGUAUUAGGUGAACAAUAGAGCAGGCAACAGAUGGCACACAGACAGCAGAGUUGGGGACAGAUAUGCAGGGACAGACUGGCAGAGACAGGGAGUCUCAGUCUGCAGAUGCAGAGGCUGCAGGUCCUGGAGGAUCGUCUCUGGUCAAGUAGGAGAGGACUGAAUGGACAACAGUAGUGUCGAAAAGGAAAAUUGUCUAAAAUUGAAGUGGAGGAUACGUGUAUGUCGGUUAAUUAAUAGUUUAUUUUCUUGGGAUGCAUUUGUUGAGUAAGGAUGCAUAUGUGGGAGACCUGUUUGAGGUGUCAAAUUGUGAAGUAUGCGCUGGGAAAAGUGGAGUCUCAGAGUGACCAGGAGCAGUCUUAUUUUGAUUGAUUGUAUUUCUGAAGAAAAGAAGAAGAUUGCAGUGGGCCUCAAAAGAAUAUACGGACAAGAGAAGUAUUGUACUUUGAACUCUCAGAGGUGAUGACGAAUGUUCAGGUUGAAUAUCUGAAGAGAAUUCCUGGUUUGGUUGGUGCCCGGCAUUUGACCCACUGGGUGAAUGUAGAAAAAGAAGAAAGUCUGUCGGUCCUGUUGUUUUUUGUUAAAGAGAACCUACCUACACAUGUCAAGCUUGGUUAUGUAAGAUACGCUGUAAGAGAUUUUGUCCCCAAAUCAUUGCAGUGAAAAAAAAUGAAAGGAUUUGGCCAUGUUUCAAGUGUGUGCAGACGGACGGAGUAUACUGAAGAAUUGCGUGUAGAAAGACGACAGUGUUGCAAUUGUGGUUGGGAUCCGAAUCCCCAGUUCCUGCAGUGCCCUGUAAGGGUGAAGGAGAUUGAGGUGGCAAAAGUUAGAGCGAUCAACAGAAUUUCCUAUGCGGAGGUGAUUUAUUAAAAGAGUUGAGCAAACAAGUGACGCUAGUGAAGAUAUGGUAGUGAAUUGAUUGAAUCAGAUGACUCAUUCAUUGCAAAACCCAUUGAUAUAUUGCCAACUACUUUAAUCUUUUUUUAAUUGGC